This 738-nucleotide ribosomal RNA is filed under the name Triticum aestivum (bread wheat). RNAcentral describes it as "partial small subunit ribosomal RNA". The record is from RNAcentral. Lineage: Eukaryota; Viridiplantae; Streptophyta; Magnoliopsida; Poales; Poaceae.
AUGCAGCUCGUCUCGGGAGGGCACACGGUUGUGGCGGUUAAUGGGCAGAUUAGUAAUUUCUUUGCUAACGGUAGGGGCCUUAGACAAGGAGACCCGGCGUCCCCCCUUCUCUUUAACUUCGUUGCGGAUGCUCUUUCUCAUAUCCUUUCUCGAGCAGCUAGUGCUGGUCACAUUACACCUGUUAGCUCUCACUUGAUACCCAAUGGCAUCACUCACCUUCAAUACACGGACGACACCAUUAUUAUGGUUGAACUUAAUGAGGCCAGUCUCACGAACCUGAAAUUCCUUCUCCUAUGCUUUGAAGCGCUAUCGGGUCUUAAAAUUAACUUUUCAAAGAGUGAAGUAAUUGUGACUGGGGUACUCGACUCUGAAGCUCAGAGAGUGGCGCAUGUUCUGAACUGCUCCCUUGGUUCUGACCCUUUCAAAUACCUGGGUCUCCCAAUCUCCCCUCUCAAGCUAUUGGCAAAAGACUUUGCCCCGACAGUGACUAAAGUAGGGAUCAGAGUCCUGCCGUGGAGAGGCCGUUAUAAUUCCCAGGCGGGCAAGGUUGCCCUCACUAAUGCGUGCCUCUCCUCCCUUGCGAUGUUUCCAAUGGGCUUUUACCUCCUGUCCGGAGGGACCCAUGCUAGUUUCGACAAGCAUAGGGGUGCUUUUUACUGGAACUCCUCUGACAAUAAAUGCAAAUAUUGGAUGGUUAAGUGGGAUCUAAUAUGUAGGCCUAAGAACAUGGGGGCUUAG